UAUAUCCGUCUUGUUUACGGUCUUGAUAGUUAGCAUGCUAUCUUUUUCACACAUUACAACCUUGUCAAGUUAAUUCUGCUCACGCGGCUAUAUGAUAUUAUCAUCAACUAUUGUCGAUUUAAUUCGUCCGCAUAAUAUCGUAUUGUUUAGUGUGUUUAUGUUUAUAAAUAUAUAUAGGUACAUACGCCGCGGACAAGCUUGACUUCGUAUUAGUACUAAUAUAACGUAUCUACCUCUUUUUACUAUAACAUCAUUGUUCAUUGUUCCUUGUGAUUGCGAGUUUAUCACGAUAAAUAGCUGUUUGUUUAGUUACUGGUGGUAAGGCGUCUUCUGAGUCGACGCGGGAUCUAACGCUGUUUGCAUCAUUUCAUCGUACUCCUCCUGUAUCAUGAAAAAAAUGAGAGCCAUAAGAAUACUCGUUGAAAUUUAACCGAGUCAAUUCAUAUCCAUAUACAACAGUAUAGUAUUUGUUAGCAUAACAUAUAACACGGUAUUAUUUUAUAAUAACUAAUGUUAUGGAUUAUUGUUGUAUAGUGUUAGGAUUAUUAAUUAUAAAAAAUAAUGUUAUAUUAUAAUACGAUUCGGUAUAAAUAAAAAUUCUAUCGAAGUACGAAUUGAAA
This is a long non-coding RNA of Bombyx mori (domestic silkworm), 620 nucleotides long. RefSeq lists it as uncharacterized. The transcript is spliced from 2 exons. The record is from RefSeq and is a predicted model, not a curated record. NCBI's taxonomy places the organism in Eukaryota, Metazoa, Arthropoda, Insecta, Lepidoptera, Bombycidae.